CAAGCGAUAGGUAAGGGCAUUUGGUGAAUGCCUUGGCAAUCAGAGGCGAAGAAGGACGUGAUACACUGCGAAAAGCCGUGGGGAGUUGUGAAUAAGCAUUGAUCCGCGGAUGUCCGAAUGGGGAAACCCACAGAGCAAUCUGUAUCUUAAAAUGAAUACAUAGUUUUAAGAGGCGAACGCAGGGAACUGAAACAUCUAAGUACCUGUAGGAAAGGAAAUCAACCGAGACUCCGAAAGUAGUGGCGAGCGAAAUCGGACCAGCCGAUGGAUAAAUCAUUAAGAAUCAGAACAGCGUGGAAAAGCUGACCGUAGAGGGUGAUAGUCCCGUACGAGUAGAAAGAUGAUUUAUUCUUGAGUAGGGCGGAGCACGAGAAAUUCUGUCUGAAAAUGGGGAGACCACUCUCCAAGGCUAAGUACUACUGAUUGACCGAUAGUGAACAAGUACCGUGAGGGAAAGGUGAAAAGCACCCCGAUAAGGGGAGUGAAAAAGAACCUGAAACCGAAUGCUUACAAGCAGUUGGAGGGGCUUUGAGCCCUGACAGCGUACCUUUUGUAUAAUGGGUCAGCGAGUUAGUUUAUGUAGCAAGCUUAAGCCGAUAGGUGUAGGCGCAGCGAAAGCGAGUGUUAAUAGCGCGAUAAGUUACAUGAAUUAGACCCGAAACCGGGUGAUCUAGCCAUGAACAGGCUGAAGGUUGGGUAACACCAACUGGAGGGCCGAACCCACUUCUGUUGAAAAAGAAGGGGAUGAUUUGUGGCUAGGGGUGAAAGGCCAAUCAAACCCGGAAAUAGCUGGUUCUCCGCGAAAACUAUUUAGGUAGUGCGGUGAGCGGACACCUUGAGGGGUAGAGCACUGGAAGAACUAGGGGGGAGCGAUCCUUACCAAAUUUUACCAAACUCCGAAUACUCAAGAGUGAUACUCACCAGACAGACAUUAGGUGCUAAGGUCUAGUGUCGAGAGGGAAAGAGCCCAGACCGUCAAUUAAGGUCCCCAAAUUAUGGCUAAGUGGUAAAGGAAGUGAAUUGUCCAAAACAGUCAGGAGGUUGGCUUAGAAGCAGCCAUCCUUUAAAGAAAGCGUAAUAGCUCACUGAUCUAAACAAGACGAUUUGCGCCGAAGAUGUAACGGGGCUAAAGCCAUAUACCGAAAUUACGGAUUUGCACUUUUGUGCAAGUGGUAGCGGAGCGUUCUGUAGGCCUGCGAAGGUGAACCGUAAGGUUUGCUGGAGGUAUCAGAAGUGAGAAUGCUGACAUGAGUAGCGAAAAGAAGAGUGAGAGACUCUUCCGCUGAAAGUCCAAGGUUUCCUGCGUAAAGCUAAUCUGCGCAGGGUUAGUCGGCCCCUAAGGCGAGGCAGAGAUGCGUAGCUGAUGGGAAUCAGGUUAAUAUUCCUGAACCAACUAGGAAGUGACGGAUUGAGUAAAUUGUAAAUGAUUAUUGGAUUUUGUUUGCAGUGAAUCAGUCCCAGGAAAUAGCCCUAGUAUAGACCGUACCCUAAACCGACACAGGUGGACAGGUAGAGUAUACCAAAGCGCUUGAGAGAACUAUGUUGAAGGAACUAGGCAAAUUACUUGCGUAACUUCGGGAUAAGCAAGCCCCAUGGUAAGGCAACUUAUUGUGGGGGGCACAAACUAGGGGGUAGCGACUGUUUACUAAAAACACAGGACUCUGCUAAAUUGAAAGAUGAAGUAUAGGGUCUGACGCCUGCCCGGUGCUGGAAGGUUAAGGAGAGAUGUGCAAGCAUUGAACUGAAGCCCCAGUAAACGGCGGCCGUAACUAUAACGGUCCUAAGGUAGCGAAAUUCCUUGUCGGGUAAGUUCCGACC
This 1818-nucleotide ribosomal RNA is filed under the name gut metagenome. RNAcentral's name for it is "bacterial LSU rRNA". It matches the Rfam family "Bacterial large subunit ribosomal RNA", at positions 1 to 1988 of the family's 2925-position model. The record is from RNAcentral.